This 488-nucleotide ribosomal RNA is filed under the name uncultured Propionibacterium sp. Its description in RNAcentral is "bacterial SSU rRNA". It matches the Rfam family "Bacterial small subunit ribosomal RNA", at positions 8 to 507 of the family's 1533-position model. Lineage: Bacteria; Bacillati; Actinomycetota; Actinomycetes; Propionibacteriales; Propionibacteriaceae. The record is from RNAcentral.
AGAGUUUGAUCCUGGCUCAGGACGAACGCUGGCGGCGUGCUUAACACAUGCAAGUCGAACGGAAAGGCCCUGCUUUUGUGGGGUGCUCGAGUGGCGAACGGGUGAGUAACACGUGAGUAACCUGCCCUUGACUUUGGGAUAACUUCAGGAAACUGGGGCUAAUACCGGAUAGGAGCUCCUGCUGCAUGGUGGGGGUUGGAAAGUUUCGGCGGUUGGGGAUGGACUCGCGGCUUAUCAGCUUGUUGGUGGGGUAGUGGCUUACCAAGGCUUUGACGGGUAGCCGGCCUGAGAGGGUGACCGGCCACAUUGGGACUGAGAUACGGCCCAGACUCCUACGGGAGGCGGCAGUGGGGAAUAUUGCACAAUGGGCGGAAGCCUGAUGCAGCAACGCCGCGUGCGGGAUGACGGCCUUCGGGUUGUAAACCGCUUUCGCCUGUGACGAAGCGUGAGUGACGGUAAUGGGUAAAGAAGCACCGGCUAACUACGUG